CCUACGGGAGGCAGCAGUCGGGAAUAUUGCGCAAUGGAGGAAACUCUGACGCAGUGACGCCGCGUAUAGGAAGAAGGUUUUCGGAUUGUAAACUAUUGUCAUUAGGGAAGAUAAAAGACUGUACCUAAGGAGGAAGCCCCGGCUAACUAUGUGCCAGCAGCCGCGGUAAUACGGAGGAUGCGAGCGUUAUCCGGAUUUAUUGGGUUUAAAGGGUGCGUAGGCGGUUUUUUAAGUUAGUGGUUAAACGUCGGGGCUUCACCUUGAUUUGCCAUUAAUACUGUAAGACUCGAGUUCAGACGAGGUAG
RNAcentral lists this ribosomal RNA (305 nucleotides) under uncultured bacterium. RNAcentral describes it as "bacterial SSU rRNA". It matches the Rfam family "Bacterial small subunit ribosomal RNA", at positions 338 to 660 of the family's 1533-position model. The record is from RNAcentral.